UCCGGUUUAACACCGGCAGUUUCGCUAGAGUCCCCGGCUUUACCCGCUGGCAACUAAGGGCAGGGGUUGCGCUCGUUGCGGCACUUAAGCCAACACCUCACGGCACGAGCUGACGACAGCCAUGCAGCACCUGUGCUGGCCCCUUACGGACACGGGCUUUCACCCGCUUCAACCAGCAUGUCAAACCCAGGUAAGGUUCUUCGCGUCGCAUCGAAUUGAGCCACAUGCUCCGCCGCUUGUGCGGGUCCCCGUCAAUUCCUUUGAGUUUUAGCCUUGCGGCCGUACUCCCCAGGCGGGGUGCUUAAUGCGUUAGCGUCGGCACGGAGCGGGUUGAAGGCCACCCCACACCUAGCACCCAACGUUUACGGCUGGGACUAC
Molecule: unclassified non-coding RNA, 378 nt
Filed under: uncultured Actinomycetes bacterium
Lineage: Bacteria; Bacillati; Actinomycetota; Actinomycetes
Description: uncultured actinobacterium contains 16S-23S intergenic spacer region
Source: RNAcentral